GCCCCUGUGGCGCAGUGAGUAGCGCGUUCCGUGCUGCCUUCUCGCGAUGUACAACCACUGAAGACCUACUGAGCACAUAGUACUCCAUAGCCUUCGUGGGUGGUGAUAUUGCCCGUGGUCGGUAUUCCCGAAGUGCGAGUACAUCAAGGGAAGUGCGACAUAGAGAGGUCCUUGGUUCGAAUCCGAGCAGGUGUG
Non-coding RNA from Clonostachys solani, 195 nucleotides. The record is from the annotation of a GenBank genome assembly. Lineage: Eukaryota; Fungi; Ascomycota; Sordariomycetes; Hypocreales; Bionectriaceae.